Long non-coding RNA from Mus musculus (house mouse), 6168 nucleotides. RefSeq annotates it as predicted gene, 52877. NCBI's taxonomy places the organism in Eukaryota, Metazoa, Chordata, Mammalia, Rodentia, Muridae. The record is from RefSeq and is marked validated. The transcript is spliced from 2 exons.
ACUCCUCAGCUUUCUCCGGUCAGGAAGCCAGUGGCUACUCCCGCUACAGAACCACUGCGCCCAUGAGAAUUGGACUCGGCAGGUAGCAAAGUGCUCCUCUUUUGAAAUUAACAGCUGGAGGAAGCUCAUCGGAUUCUAAAGCACUGUGGAGAGGCUCAUCACUGGCUCUGCCCUUCAUCCUCUCACCUGAGCAGAUGACAGAGGCCACCUGUCCUUCGGAACACGUCGGCGCACCCAGAGCAGUCAUGAGGCAAUCUCCUAUAUGUUCCUCAGUUCCAGUGCAGUGGAACAUGUGACUCCAGACCUGACCAGCUCCUUUCCCAAAAUGUGCUCCUUCUGGAAUAGAUUGGGCAACCCCACACUUCAGCUGCUGACAUAAGACAUGAGCAUCUUCCAUGUCCCAAUGAGAACUGCAGAGGGGACCCCAGGCUCCGAGUGUCUUGAGCUCCACUCUUCCCUCACAGGAGGACUCGCCGCCUGCCAGACGAAUAUCUAUGUAUCCUAAAAGGAGACCGGGAUUUAGAAAAGACAUCCGUGACUCUCUAACCCUCUUUCAGAGCCUAGGAGCAAAUUGAAAAUAUUUUCUUUGUCUUACGUGAGCAGACUACGCUGACAUCCCUGCUGUGGGUACAAGUUCUGUCUAGCGGGGGCGCCACUGAGCAUAGUGAAAGAUGGGACUCAUCCCCACUACACUGGAAUUCUUCACCCCAGAUCUGUCCACUUCCUUCUCCAAAAUGUGCUCCCCCUAGGAUAGAGACGACUGUUCCACAUUGUAAUUCCCUGCACACCACACUGGCAGCUUCCAGAGACAAGUCAAAAUCACAGACGGAGCCCCACACGUCUCCGUGUUUCACUUCCACACGACCAGAGCAUGGGAUUUCUCCUCCAACCAGUCUGGGUUCCCUGUGGCCUGAAAAAUAAUAAUAUUUCCGUGAGAGGUACAAUUUCCACAUUUUUCACUCAUGGUGGGACUAGGAGCCAGGGUUCUCUGCAGUUUCACCCUGUACCUCCUGGAUUUUCUGUCUAGACUGAGCAUAGAAAAUUGUGGCUCUAGAACCUUUCAUUGGGCUUGUCCUUCUAAGAAAAUUCUAGCGCUUUGGAUUUUGAAGAAAAGCAAGAUCAGAACUUCUCUUUUCUUUUAGUACUUCACUUGCAUUUAUUCAUACAACACAAUUUGUUCACAGUUUGGGCUCUGUCAGCCAGCUCGGCACUUGUUCCAGUCUGAAGUCUACAGUAGCUUUAUCAACAUCUGCAUAUAGGUUUACAACAUAGUUUUGUUCAGAGCAUUGAAUGAACAUCAGACUUUAAAAAGUGGAACACCUGAUGUCUGUGACUCUCCAGUCCUCUUCCCAUUCCUUUCUGACAGGGCUUUAUCACAGUGGUUCAUAGACAAACAGGCCUGUCUGCAUGCUCUGCUCUGCCUUGCCAGCUCCACACUGUAUUCUGUGCCCCAUCUGAUCUGUCAGUAGGAAGGGCAGAGCAACAUUGGGCUCCUAGAUCUUGUGCCUCCAUGACAGAGAGAGAGAGAGAGAGAGAGAGAGAGAGAGAGAGAGAGAGAGAGAGAGAGAGAGAGAGAGAGAAUGUCACUUAGUGUAGCUGGGCUUUAAGAUGUAAACAAAAGUGAUGCCAGAUAAUAAGAAAUGGAACUCAGAUUGGAAUAUGCUCUCUACCAGGCUGGGAUGUGCUCCCUGUCAGGCUGGGAUGUGCUCCCUGUCAGGCUGGGAUGUGCUCCCUGUCAGGCUGGGAUGUGCUCCCUGUCAGGCUGGGAUGUGCUCCUUGUCAGGCUGGGAUGUGCUCCCUGUCAGGCUGGGAUGUGCUCCUUGUCAGGCUGGGAUGUGCUCCCUGUCAGGCUGGGAUGUGCUCCCUGUCAGGCUGGGAUGUGCUCCCUGUCAGGCUGGGAUGUGCUCCCUGUGUUCCUUGUCAGGCUGGGAUGUGCUCCCUGUCAGGCUGGAAUGUGCUCCCUGUCAGGCUGGGAUGUGUUUCUUGUCAGUCAGACCAAGACCAAGAGGCUUAAUCAUCAAGACAAGCAGGGCUUCCUUUAAUACCAGAAACCACUGAGAGUCUUGAAAACACGAACUACUUCAAAUUCACAUAUUUUUAAAAACAGAAGUUCAUCUGAGGUUGGACCUAAAGAGCAAACAUCCUUCACAGAUGCCUGUACAAACCUUUGAUGCCACCCUCACUGUGGUACAGAUGGACAGACAGACACCCCUUCAGUCCUUGCAGUGUUCAUACUCUGUCUACACUUCAGACCAUGCAUCUUUUACCUUACAUUAAAAUAUCUCUGAGCCGGGUGUGGUGGCACAUGCCUUUAAUCCCAGCACUCGGGAGGCAGAGGCAGGUGAAUUUCUGAGUUCUAGGCCAGCCUGGUCUACAGAGUGAGUUCCAGGACAGCCAGGGCUACACAGAGAAACCCUGUCUUGAAAAACCGAAAAAAAAAAUCUCUGAAAAUGUUUGAGAUAUGGCUACUUCUGCAUUAGAAACAAAAUAGAAUGUUUCAGCAUGAGGGACUUUUACCAUUAAAGUGAAUUCCUAUCUAAAUAUGAGAUGAAGAACCCAUGAUUUCUAAAUGCAGACCAAGUUGAGAGAAAACAAUGAUAUACACAAAUAAUUGAUGAUUGUUGAACUGGAAAGUCCUUAGCUUGAAUUGGGUGAGCAUAAAAUCCCCUAAGAUGUUACAGGAUAGUAUGUAUACAGUCCUCUUGGACAGCCCUUCCCCCAUUAAUUAAUUAAUUAAUCAAUUAAUUAAUUAACUUUAUAUCCAAAUUGCAUUCCUCCUCUCCUCAUAUCCCCCCCCCCCACAUUGCCCCUCCCCUACCUCUCUUCCCCUUCUCCUCUGAGAAGGGGGAGCAGCCUCCUGGUUACCUAUGACACAUCAAGCCACUGCAAGACAAGGCACAUUCUCUCCCACUGAGGCCACACAAGGCAACCCAGUUAGGAGAACAGGAUACACAGGCAGGCAAUAGAGUCAGGGACAGCCCCCACUCCAGUUGUUUGGGGAUCCACAUGAAGACCAAACUAUAUAUCUGCUAUAUAAUUUGUGGUGCUUCUAGGUCCAGCCCAUGUAUGCUCUUUGAUUCAGUCUCUGGGAGCCCCCAAGGGACCAGGUUAGUUGACUGUUGCACUUCCUGUAGAGUCCCUAUUCCCUCUGGGUCCCUCAAUCAUUUCCUCAACUCUUCCAAAAGACUCCCUGAUCUCUGUCCAACUGUUUAGCUGUGGGUCUCUGAAUCUGUUUCAGUUAGUUCCUGGAUGAAGCCUCUCAGAGGAGAGUUCUACUAGGCUCCUGUCUGUAAAUGUCAUUAAUAGUGUCAGGAAUUGGUUCUUGCCCAUGGGAUGGGUCUCAAUUUGGGGCAGUCAUUGGUUGGCCAUUCCCUUAGUCUCUGUUCCAUCUUUGAUCUUUCACUUCUUGUAGACAGGAAACAUUUUUUCCCCUUUUUUAAAAAUUAGGUAUUUAGCUCAUUUACAUUUCCAAUGCUAUACCAAAAGUCCCCCAUACCCACCCACCCCCACUCCCCUACCUGCCCACUCCCCCUUUUUGGUCCUGGCGUUCCCCUGUUCUGGGGCAUAUAAAGUUUGCGUGUCCAAUGGGCCUCUCUUUCCAGUGAUGGCCGACUAGGCCAUCUUUUGAUACAUAUGCAGCUAGAGUCAAGAGCUCCAGGGUACUGGUUAGUUCAUAAUAUUGAUCCACCUAUAGGGUUGCAGAUCCCUUUAGCUCCUUGGGUACUUUCUCUAGCUCCUCCAUUGGGAGCCCUGUGAUCCAUCCAUUAGCUGACUGUGAGCAUCCACUUCUGUGUUUGCUAGGCCCCGGCAUAGUCUCACAAGAGACAGCUACAGGACACAUUUUGGGUUGAAAGUUUUGUGAGUGGGUUGUCAUUGGACUUAAUCUUUAAGUCAAGGUGAUUUCUGAGAUCAGGCCAAACUAGGUGUCUAGGUUUCUGGAGUAUUCACAUGUAGCCAUUCAAACAGAAUAGAAUAGAAUAGAAUAGAAUAGAAUAGAAUAGAAUAAAAUAGAAUGGAAUGGAAUGGAAUGGAAUAGAAUAGAAUAGAAUAAUAGAAUAGAAUAGAAUAGAAUAGAAUCAGAAAAAAGCAAAAACUAAACCAAUUGUGCUUUCUUUCCCAGUGAAAAUGUGUAAUGUUCUUGAAAGCGAAUUCUUUCUGUAUACAUUCUUUCUGUUCUCCAAUCCUAAAACAUUUGAAUCUAAGUCCAAAGUCUUCUAUCCAAACAGGCUACUUUGGGACUUCAUUUUUUCAGUUUUGAUUUUGUAAAUCUGUUAACAUGCAGCCACCUACACCUUUAGAAUGCUGGAGUCUUAGCUUUUUUAAGGGACUUUCUUCCCAACAAAUAAAUGACUUCAUUGAUUUUUAUAUAAGCGCCAAUAAACAGAAUUUUGUGCCUAGCUUUGAUUCUUUUGAUUAACAAGUUAAGUUUUAAUCUGCCAAAGUAACUAAAUCAACACUUAUUCUUUAUCCAAAGAACGAAGAGCAAGUGUAAGAACAAUUAAUUAGAACUUCCUCCUUUUGUUCAGUAACAAAGUAUAUGAUCUGCACAACGAAGAAUAAAUCACAUCAUUUGAAACACCUGGAUUGUCUUGUUCCUCAGCUGAGCUGAUCAUAAAGUGUAGCCAAAGCAGAAGAUGAAAUAGUUACUGCACAACAGAAGUAGCAAGCACACCAGCAAAGUAACCUGGUCUUUGCUUUCGUCUAGUCAUAGGUUUCCAAUGGCCUUACGUCUGAGAUGAGCAGCUGCCGGAAGAAGUUGACAUCAGCACCUAUCAGUGCUUGUCAAUGGGCCCUUUGACCUCAUCAUUGGAUAGCAUUCUCUUGCUAACGUGGAGAAUAGCUGUGAUCAGAUGCAACUGCUGAGCUUACAAGUGUGCACUCUGGUACCCAGGCCUUUAUGUGUGCCUAAAGUCUGAACUCAGGUUUUUAUGAGUGUGUCGUAAGUGCUUUAUCUACUGAGCCAUCUCUCCAGAACCCCAGUACAUUGUUAGUUGAAGAAUAAUUUUUCACGGUCUGUCAGUAUGUCACAUAUGCAUAAUACAGAUGCAUAAUGAUAUGUGUCAAGUAUAUUACCGUUUUCAGAGAAAUUGUGCAAUCAGAUUUAUUUUAAAAAUAAACCCCAGGAGGUGGAGAGAUGACUCCAUGGAGCACUGGUUGCACUUCCAGAGGUCCUGAGUUCUUAGCAACUGAAUGGUGGCUCAUAACCAUUUAUAAUGAGAUUUAGUGUCCUCUUAUAGUGUGCAGGCAUACAUAUAGGCAGAAUACUGUAUAUAUACUAAAUAAAUAGAUCUUUAAAAAAUUCAAAGGAAGAGGUUAAAAAAAUUCCAAUUCUGUCAUUAGUAUAAGCAAUGCGCCUGAAUAUUCUGAUUCAUAAGGUUGGAGCAAGAGCAUAAAAAGUUCACCAUGAGCACAGUAUCUGUAGUACCCUUGGAAUUAAGUUGCUUCUUAACAAAUGAAUUGAAAGUAUCACCUGAGCAGGUAACUUUGGCUUCUUCGAAAUUAUCACAGGAAAGGCCGCCCCACUGCCAGUUUUUGCAUUGCCAAAAAGUAGUUUCAUUUCCAUUACAAGAUCCAGGAAAGAGCCACGUAUUUGUUGCCCCAGUUUUAGAGUAGAUCUUAGCCUGGGUUUGAAGCGCAGAUCCACAUCCAAGCUGUCUGCAAACCACAUCCGCAUCUGCCAGUGUCCAGCCUCGGCUACACAUCUUCCCAGUCAGCUUCUGAAUCUCCACCUCCACAAUGCCAGCACAGCGACUGCCUCCACCUACAAGUCUAAGUUCCAGAUCUGCUCCAUCUGCAGUGGAAACAUGAACAGAGGGAACCUGGGCAGGAUAGCUCCCCAAAGACUUUCUACUCCCUUUCUUUGCAGACACUGAGACACUGGAACCUGUGAUCUACCCAGUGCUUAUCGUUUGUUUGUUUCUUGAUAAUACUGUGGCUUGAGCCUAGUCCCCUUUAUAAGCUAAAUGACUGUAUGCCAGAUAUCUUUUUAUAAUUUUGUUUAAAAUCUUACUGAGAUGGGUCUCAGUAAGUUUCCCAGAAUGUAUUUGAAUUUGCCACCCUCUGCCCUAGUCUCUCUCCUAAGGGGCUUGGAUUAUAGGCCUAUGCCACCAUAUCUAAUUUUGGUUUACCUAUUUACUGAGGCCUUAAUAAACAAAUACUGACUACUGA